UGGGCAUAAAGCGCGCGCAGGUGGUUCCUUAAGUCUGAUGUGAAAGCCCACGGCUCAACCGUGGAGGGUCAUUGGAAACUGGGGAACUUGAGUGCAGAAGAGAAAAGUGGAAUUCCAAGUGUAGCGGUGAAAUGCGUAGAGAUUUGGAGGAACACCAGUGGCGAAGGCGGCUUUUUGGUCUGUAACUGACGCUGAGGCGCGAAAGCGUGGGGAGCAAACAGGAUUAGAAACCCGGGUAGUCC
Molecule: ribosomal RNA, 242 nt
Filed under: Salinicola sp. MH3R3-1
Lineage: Bacteria; Pseudomonadati; Pseudomonadota; Gammaproteobacteria; Oceanospirillales; Halomonadaceae
Description: partial 16S ribosomal RNA
Rfam family: Bacterial small subunit ribosomal RNA
Source: RNAcentral